UCCCCGCUGGGUUCUCUGCAACACCACACACCCCCCCCCCCCACACCGUCCUUCUCCACGGCUUCACCCCUCCGCCCGAUUGGUUGUGCUGCCGACACCAUCACUGGCCGUAUUCUACUCAUGCCGCCGUCUGUAACCGCUGACAAGGGUAAGUACCGCCUAAACAAGGAUUUUUUUCUCUGUUUUCGUUUCCCAGUUUCUCUCCAGUCACUUUUACAAUCCAUUCACUUUCAUAUAGAAGGCCACAUAGUCACUUAUUCACUCUUUCACUACUGGAUUGUCUUUGUUUAUGAGAAACAUUUGAGUUAACUCCCAAGUACAAUCUCUCAAACCAAAAAUUGUUGCAAUGGAAGGAAAGGUACUAUUUUCUCCUUUUAUUUUAUCUUUCGCUCUUUCUCUCACUUUUUAUUUUAUUUUAUUUUAUUUAUUUCUAGGGUUCCAGUUGAUUGAGAAUCCCAACCACUUUUUUAAAUUUGUUGUCUUGUUGGUGCUAGUGCUCCUUUUAUUUUAUCUUUCGCGUUAUUUGUUGUCUUGUUGGGUUUGUUUAAAAGUCGGUCAAGUCUUAGAUCUGUCGAUUCUUUCUCUUCCUUUUCUUUUCCCUUGCUGUUUUUUUUAAUUGGAGAUCAUCAUUUGAAUCUGAUUUGAUGCUUUCCCAAGCGAAUGGGAAUGGAAAACACUUUUUCAUCUCAUUUAUAGUAUACUUUGCAAUAGAUUUGUUGAAGAAUUGGCAGCUUCUGGAAUAGACAUGUAAAACCCAUGUCCUAUGAGUUUUAUCUUUUAUUCUGGUUUUGCAAACAUCAAAAUAAUAACAAGUAUUUUGAUCAUGUAGUGUUUCUAGUAACUAAAUUCAAGAUUUAUAAAAAAAAUUAGAAUGUGGGUGACUUCUGAAUUGAUCAAUCUGCAUGACAAUUCUUUGGACUGUUUGAUGUUUGAUGGGCAAUAAGCAAAUUCUGGACAAGUUCAGAUGUGAGGGAUCCAUGCCAUGGAUUAAAAAUAAAUAAAAGAGAAAGGAUAAUGAAUCCAGAUGGUCAUGAUGAAAAGUUAUCCAAACAGGACUGGACCUACUUUGGAAUCAAAGUUAAUCAUCUUUGAAUAUUUAUAAAUAGGAUGAGGUGUGAUAUUAUUGUCCCCUUUUACAUGUUUAUAAAUCUUCUUGAAAAUUUCCUUUUCUAAUGUCUUUGUUUUAAUGUUCCAUUUUUAAUAUCUUCAAGAUACGUCGUGCUUGCUCCAUGGGACUUAGUGCAAAUCAGUCCCCAACUUUGACUAGAAAUUGGCCUCCUAAUUGGGAGAAAGUAGUGAAUUCCUUGCAGAAUUUGUGUGUGCCAGAAUGGGAAGAAAAAGUUGUGCUCUUGUUGAGGUAGCACGCUUUUCACACCAGUUUCCUCUUCCUCUAUAUGUUUUCCUCACUCAGCUUUCAAUUAAUGGCUUGGACCCAGCUAGGCCUUUUUGCCAUUCAUGCAUAGCACCAGAGCUUUUCUCUCCAGAGUCUUGGGAUCAAACUUAAACCGAUCAAAACUUGAGUAUAUAUUGAGAUUUGAUGCAGAUGACCAUUUGAAGCAUGUAUUCAUUAAUCACGUCUCCUGCGAAGCAAUGUACAACCAUGACAGAUUUGUAAUUUUUUCAUGAUAGUGUAUUAUUUGAUUCUAUCA
Carya illinoinensis is the source of this 1649-nucleotide long non-coding RNA. RefSeq lists it as uncharacterized. The transcript is spliced from 2 exons. NCBI's taxonomy places the organism in Eukaryota, Viridiplantae, Streptophyta, Magnoliopsida, Fagales, Juglandaceae. The record is from RefSeq and is a predicted model, not a curated record.